ACGUGAUGAGAUUUAUAGCUGGCACCAGUCAUAGGGGUUUUUUGUACUCUCUCCCUUUGAUGAUCAAGCUUUUGAAUACACUUCAUUUCUGAA
This 93-nucleotide small nucleolar RNA is filed under the name Diaporthe helianthi. RNAcentral describes it as "A. fumigatus snoRNA Afu_190". It matches the Rfam family "A. fumigatus snoRNA Afu_190". Lineage: Eukaryota; Fungi; Ascomycota; Sordariomycetes; Diaporthales; Diaporthaceae. The record is from Rfam by way of RNAcentral.